UACGUAGGCAGCGAGCGUUUGUUCGGAUUUACUGGGCGUAAAGGGCGCGUAGGCGGUCGUGACAAGUCACUUGUGAAAUCUCCGGGCUUAACUCGGAACGGUCAAGUGAUACUGUCGGACUAGAGUACAGAAGGGGCAACUGGAAUUCUCGGUGUAGCGGUGAAAUGCGUAGAGAUCGGGAGGAACACCUGUGGCGAAGGCGGCCCCCCUGGGCCGGCCCUGACACUGAGACGCGAAGGCGUGGGGAGCGAACGGG
Molecule: ribosomal RNA, 256 nt
Filed under: uncultured bacterium
Lineage: Bacteria
Description: partial 16S ribosomal RNA
Rfam family: Bacterial small subunit ribosomal RNA
Source: RNAcentral